AACUGUGGCUGUGCAACCCUGAACGUGCCUGAUCUCUUCUGAUCUCAGAAGCUAAGCAGGGUCAGGCCUGUUUAGUACUUGGAUGGGAGACCAUCUAGGAAUACCAGGUGCUUUAAGUG
RNAcentral lists this ribosomal RNA (119 nucleotides) under Pteropus vampyrus (large flying fox). Lineage: Eukaryota; Metazoa; Chordata; Mammalia; Chiroptera; Pteropodidae. The record is from RNAcentral.